GUCAAUGGCGCAAGCCUGAUCCAGCCAUGCCGCGUGUCUGAAGAAGGCCUUAUGGUUGUAAAGCACUUUAAGCGAGGAGGAGGCUACUUUAGUUAAUACCUAGAGAUAGUGGACGUUACUCGCAGAAUAAGCACCGGCUAACUCUGUGCCAGCAGCCGCGGUAAUACAGAGGGUGCAAGCGCUAAUCGGAUUUACUGGGCGUAAAGCGCGCGUAGGCGGCUAAUUAAGUCAAAUGUGAAAUCCCCGAGCUUAACUUGGGAAUUGCAUUCGAUACUGGUUAGCUAGAGUGUGGGAGAGGAUGGUAGAAUUCCAGGUGUAGCGGUGAAAUGCGUAGAGAUCUGGAGGAAUACCGAUGGCGAAGGCAGCCAUCUGGCCUAACACUGACGCUGAGGUGCGAAAGCAUGGGGAGCAAACAGGAUUAGAUACCCUGGUAGUCCAUGCCGUAAACGAUGUCUACUAGCCGUUGGGGCCUUUGAGGCUUUAGUGGCGCAGCUAACGCGAUAAGUAGACCGCCUGGGGAGUACGGUCGCAAGACUAAAACUCAAAUGAAUUGACGGGGGCCCGCACAAGCGGUGGAGCAUGUGGUUUAAUUCGAUGCAACGCGAAGAGCCUUACCUGGCCUUGACAUAGUAAGAACUUUCCAGAGAUGGAUUGGUGCCUUCGGGAACUUACAUACAGGUGCUGCAUGGCUGUCGUCAGCUCGUGUCGUGAGAUGUUGGGUUAAGUCCCGCAACGAGCGCACCCCUUUUCCCUAUUUGCCAGCGCGUAAUGUCGGGAACUUUAAGGAUACUGCCAGUGACAAACUGGAGGAAGGCGGGGACGACGUCAAGUCAUCAUGGCCCUUACGGCCAGGGCUACACACGUGCUACAAUGGUCGGUACAAAGGGCUGCUACCUAGCGAUAGGAUGCUAAUCUCAAAAAGCCGAUCGUAGUCCGGAUUGGAGUCUGCAACUCGAUUCC
This 960-nucleotide ribosomal RNA is filed under the name Acinetobacter calcoaceticus. Its description in RNAcentral is "bacterial SSU rRNA". It matches the Rfam family "Bacterial small subunit ribosomal RNA", at positions 367 to 1319 of the family's 1533-position model. Lineage: Bacteria; Pseudomonadati; Pseudomonadota; Gammaproteobacteria; Moraxellales; Moraxellaceae. The record is from RNAcentral.